Long non-coding RNA from Panicum virgatum (switchgrass), 1109 nucleotides. RefSeq lists it as uncharacterized. NCBI's taxonomy places the organism in Eukaryota, Viridiplantae, Streptophyta, Magnoliopsida, Poales, Poaceae. The record is from RefSeq and is a predicted model, not a curated record. The transcript is spliced from 2 exons.
CUCUCUCGUCGCUCCAGCCGCUCGUCAUCCGCGUGCUAGUGGGCGCGCAGGAUCCUCUCCGCCGCGAGCAUCUGGGCCCGCACGUCCUACUGGACCAGCUCCUUCUCGGCACCGGUGGCGGCGGCCUUGCUCUGUUGAGAGGCUGCAGGGAAGUAGAUUAAUCAGGCUGCAGGGGAGUAGAUUAAUCGGCAGUAGAAUUGUUUACCGGUGUAGGCUUCAUUCCCAGAUGGUUUUACGGACUUACGGUGUAGAUUGUUUUUUAUUUUCAUCAUUUGUUUGGUGAGAAAUUUUUCCUUGAUGUUCGUUUAGAACAUGAAUUUUUUACUCUUACUAUCAAGUCUCUGUUUUCAGAUUGUUUUGCUUCAUACUUUUUUCUUCAUUUUCAUAGGACAGAUUUAGGAUAUUUCUUGCUUUGAAUCACUUGGACCCUUUUUGUUUUGUUUUGUGUUGAUAGGUUACAAAAAUAUCUAGUUACAAAAAUAUGUUGUUUGAAUAUUGUGAUAAGCUUGCUUCUAGCUUAUAGUUUAAAUUAAUCUAGCUUAUUGUUUUUUUUACAUUGCAUUUUAGGUUCUAUUUUGCUUACUGUUUUUGUAAGCCUACUGUUUUAUUCUUCUUUUUAAAUUUUUGUAGAUGGCAAGGAAGAGAUCCAGGGAUUUCGUUGACAUUGUUAGCACGCAGGAAUCUGAUGGUGUAGACAUUGGAGAUAAGUCUGAUUCUCUGUCUAACACUGAGAGCGAUGGUUGUGAAGAAUCUGAAUAUCAAUGUUCAUUUGGUUCUUGGCUUUUCAAUUGGUCCCAAAGCUUUCCCUUCUGAUUCUUCUGGUGGUAAAGCUGUUGUCUUGUCCCUGUUUGAGAAGAACUCCAUUCCUUCAGCGGCAUUAUUUGCCAACAAAAUCAUCGAGCAUGAAACCAAGACUGAUGAGGAGUUGAUUAUCUGUUUUGUGCUUGUUGCUAUGACCAGUUUCUCUUAUUUUACUAUCAGUCUCAUUAUUGUUCACCAGCUUUGUAAUAUUUAAUUGUAAUAUUAUAAAGUAAUUGUAAUAUUUGUUUUCCAGUGUUACAGUUUAACAAAGUUAAAUUCCCAGUGCAAAUUUCACUAUCAUUUAUAUA